GACGAACGCUGGCGGCGUGCUUAACACAUGCAAGUCGAACGGAAAGGCCCUGCUUUUGUGGGGUGCUCGAGUGGCGAACGGGUGAGUAACACGUGAGUAACCUGCCCUUGACUUUGGGAUAACUUCAGGAAACCGGGGCUAAUACCGGAUAGGAGCUCCUGCUGCAUGGUGGGGGUUGGAAAGUUUCGGCGGUUGGGGAUGGACUCGCGGCUUAUCAGCUUGUUGGUGGGGUAGUGGCUUACCAAGGCUUUGACGGGUAGCCGGCCUGAGAGGGUGACCGGCCACAUUGGGACUGAGAUACGGCCCAGACUCCUACGGGAGGCAGCAGUGGGGAAUAUUGCACAAUGGGCGGAAGCCUGAUGCAGCAACGCCGCGUGCGGGAUGACGGCCUUCGGGUUGUAAACCGCUUUCGCCUGUGACGAAGCGUGAGUGACGGUAAUGGGUAAAGAAGCACCGGCUAACUACGUGCCAGCAGCCGCGGUGAUACGUAGGGUGCGAGCGUUGUCCGGAUUUAUUGGGCGUAAAGGGCUCGUAGGUGGUUGAUCGCGUCGGAAGUGUAAUCUUGGGGCUUAACCCUGAGCGUGCUUUCGAUACGGGUUGACUUGAGGAAGGUAGGGGAGAAUGGAAUUCCUGGUGGAGCGGUGGAAUGCGCAGAUAUCAGGAGGAACACCAGUGGCGAAGGCGGUUCUCUGGGCCUUUCCUGACGCUGAGGAGCGAAAGCGUGGGGAGCGAACAGGCUUAGAUACCCUGGUAGUCCACGCUGUAAACGGUGGGUACUAGGUGUGGGGUCCAUUCCACGGGUUCCGUGCCGUAGCUAACGCUUUAAGUACCCCGCCUGGGGAGUACGGCCGCAAGGCUAAAACUCAAAGGAAUUGACGGGGCCCCGCACAAGCGGCGGAGCAUGCGGAUUAAUUCGAUGCAACGCGUAGAACCUUACCUGGGUUUGACAUGGAUCGGGAGUGCUCAGAGAUGGGUGUGCCUCUUUUGGGGUCGGUUCACAGGUGGUGCAUGGCUGUCGUCAGCUCGUGUCGUGAGAUGUUGGGUUAAGUCCCGCAACGAGCGCAACCCUUGUUCACUGUUGCCAGCACGUUAUGGUGGGGACUCAGUGGAGACCGCCGGGGUCAACCCGGAGGAAGGUGGGGAUGACGUCAAGUCAUCAUGCCCCUUAUGUCCAGGGCUUCACGCAUGCUACAAUGGCUGGUACAGAGAGUGGCGAGCCUGUGAGGGUGAGCGAAUCUCGGAAAGCCGGUCUCAGUUCGGAUUGGGGUCUGCAACUCGACCUCAUGAAGUCGGAGUCGCUAGUAAUCGCAGAUCAGCAACGCUGCGGUGAAUACGUUCCCGGGGCUUGUACACACCGCCCGUCAAGUCCUGAAAGUUGGUAACACCCGAAGCCGGUGGCCUAACCGUUGUGGGGGAGCCGUCGAAGGUGGGACUGGUGAUUAGGACU
Molecule: ribosomal RNA, 1447 nt
Filed under: uncultured bacterium
Lineage: Bacteria
Description: partial 16S rRNA
Rfam family: Bacterial small subunit ribosomal RNA
Source: RNAcentral